Molecule: non-coding RNA, 126 nt
Organism: Triticum urartu
Lineage: Eukaryota; Viridiplantae; Streptophyta; Magnoliopsida; Poales; Poaceae
Source: Rfam
GUACUACUCCCUCCGUCCGAAAAAACUUGUCCCUCAAAUGGAUGUAUCUAGCACCAAAUUAGUGCUAGAUACAUCCAUUUGAAAGACAAGCUUGGGACAAGCUUUUUCAGACGGAGUGAGUACUUA